RNAcentral lists this ribosomal RNA (543 nucleotides) under Boophis arcanus. RNAcentral's name for it is "partial 16S ribosomal RNA". The stretch from base 1 to 397 matches the Rfam family "Bacterial large subunit ribosomal RNA", at positions 715 to 1300 of the family's 2925-position model. The record is from RNAcentral. Lineage: Eukaryota; Metazoa; Chordata; Amphibia; Anura; Mantellidae.
CCGAAACUAAGUGAGCUACUUUAGAACAGCCCCAGAGCUAACCCGUCUCUGUCGCAAAAGAGUGGGAAGAUUCUCAAGUAGAGGUGAUAAACCUACCGAACUUAGAGAUAGCUGGUUUUUUAAGAAAAGAAUUUUAGUUCUAUUUUAAACUUAUAUAUUAAACAAAAAUACACUCAAGUUUAAAAGUUAUUCAAAUAAGGCACAGCUUAUUUGAAAUGGGACACAACCCAGAACCCAGGGUAAGACAAAUAAUAUUUUAACAAGCGGGCCUAAAAGCAGCCAUCUUUUAAAAAGCGUCAAAGCUUAGCGAUUUCAAUUUACCUGAUACCUACACCUACUUCUAACCCUCAAGCCCCUAUUAAAAAACUCCAUAUACUUAUGGAAGAUAUUAUGCUGGAACAAGUAACAAGAAAAAGACUUUCUCCAAAAUGUAAGCUUUAGCCUUAAUAGACACCCUACCGGCAAUUAACGUGUAUAAACUCACUGUAACAACCUCAACAAGAAAACCUUACACUCCCCAACGUCAAUCUUACACUAGCACAU